GGGUAUGCUACUCCUUCAUUUUCUGCGUUUCUUCACUCUACUGCAGUGUCAUGCACGAUCUGAUACGUGACUCUUUUACUUGUCCUGCAAACAGAAGUUUCGAUGAUUCGGCAUGGGGUGCAGCAUUUGACACUAAUGACGAUGUGGAUUCUGUAUGGGGAUUUAACCCAAGCACCAAGGUCUGUCCCUAAACCUCCUUAAGAACCUGACCUGAGAUUAUAGAUAGAUAUUGAUGUCAGAAGGGAUGAAUAAGUUUUAGCCACCCUUUUCUAAAGCAAACUCCUUUUCGCACACAUACUGCUCUUAACAGGACACUGAUUCAGAGAAGCAUCAAGACUUCUUUGGUUCCCACGACGAUUUUGGAAUGAAGCCAAUCAGGACUUCAGGAUCUCCAACCAC
This 399-nucleotide long non-coding RNA is filed under the name Linum usitatissimum (flax). RNAcentral's name for it is "long non-coding RNA (LUSI_LNC001437)". The record is from RNAcentral. Lineage: Eukaryota; Viridiplantae; Streptophyta; Magnoliopsida; Malpighiales; Linaceae.